Oryzias melastigma (Indian medaka) is the source of this 756-nucleotide long non-coding RNA. RefSeq lists it as uncharacterized. The transcript is spliced from 6 exons. NCBI's taxonomy places the organism in Eukaryota, Metazoa, Chordata, Actinopteri, Beloniformes, Adrianichthyidae. The record is from RefSeq and is a predicted model, not a curated record.
UGAUAGUCGUCAACGGUUAUCAACGGCUACUGCCGCGGAGAAAAGCUGCUUUGUGCAGCAGCGUUCUCGUUGACUGUACAUGUCUACGUUAGUAAUAUUUUGUAUUUCGAAGCAAAGCAAGAAAAAAAAAUGCAGUUUUUCUCACGAGUGAAGAUCUUCAGGCCAAAAAGUCAGGACAUCAAUUCUGCAGAGCAGCAGGAGUCCAUUACAAUUUCACCUCUUGAGACUGUUGGUGUGAAGUUUACCAGUUUCUAGCAGCUGGUGGAGAAAUGAACCUGCGCUUCCCCCACAUGUGCACCGCCCGCAUAAUGAGAGACCCUCCGGCUUUUUCUGCAGCCGCGAUGAACGAAAGAAUGAAUGCUCACCAAAUCCAGCCAAACGUGAGCUGAGAACUCCCACUCUACGAGGCGUGAGAAGUCCUGAUGUGCUCUUUUGUGAAAAUACCCGUUAACCCUUGAACGUUUUCGGCGUCGCUGGCGACAUCUCAGGUGUUAACAGAGCCAGCAGGGUGACGGUGAGGGCCCCCGGCAGGCCCCAGGCCACAGCAUGGAAGAGGAGAGCCUUCUUCUCUAUGGCCUCACUGCCCCAUUUAGGCACAGCAGCCAGGAACCAAGUAAUGGAAGCCCAGGAAGAAGACCAGGGACACCAUGACGUAACAGACGGCGUAGAAGAUGAUUGGUCGCUCAGGAUACCUGAACCUGUUUGGGAACAGAACUCUGUGAUUGUCUCCAAUAAAUACGUACAGAAAACUUUACA